Molecule: ribosomal RNA, 254 nt
Filed under: uncultured bacterium
Lineage: Bacteria
Description: partial 16S ribosomal RNA
Rfam family: Bacterial small subunit ribosomal RNA
Source: RNAcentral
UACGAAGGGUGCAAACGUUGCUCGGAAUCAUUGGGCGUAAAGCGCACGUAGGCGGCUUGCCAAGUCGGACGUGAAAUCCCUCAGCUCAACCGUGGAAGUGCACUCGAAACUGCAUAGCUAGAGUCCUGGAGAGGAAGGUGGAAUGCUUGGUGUAGAGGUGAAAUUCGUAGAUAUCAAGCGGAACACCGGUGGCGAAGGCGGCCUUCUGGACAGUGACUGACGCUGGAGACGCGAAAGCGUGGGGAGCAAACAGG